This 846-nucleotide ribosomal RNA is filed under the name uncultured bacterium. RNAcentral's name for it is "bacterial SSU rRNA". It matches the Rfam family "Bacterial small subunit ribosomal RNA", at positions 8 to 813 of the family's 1533-position model. The record is from RNAcentral.
AGAGUUUGAUCCUGGCUCAGGACGAACGCUGGCGGCGUGCCUAAUACAUGCAAGUCGAACGCACUCUCGUUUAGAUUGAAGGAGCUUGCUCCUGAUUGAUAAACAUUUGAGUGAGAGGCGGACGGGUGAGUAACACGUGGGUAACCUGCCCUAAAGUGGGGGAUAACAUUUGGAAACAGAUGCUAAUACCGCAUAAAACCUAACACCGCAUGGUGUAGGGUUGAAAGAUGGUUUCGGCUAUCACUUUAGGAUGGACCCGCGGUGCAUUAGUUAGUUGGUGAGGUAAAGGCUCACCAAGACCGUGAUGCAUAGCCGACCUGAGAGGGUAAUCGGCCACACUGGGACUGAGACACGGCCCAGACUCCUACGGGAGGCAGCAGUAGGGAAUCUUCCACGAUGGACGAAAGUCUGAUGGAGCAACGCCGCGUGAGUGAAGAAGGUUUUCGGAUCGUAAAACUCUGUUGUUGGAGAAGAAUGUAUCUGAUAGUAACUGAUCAGGUAGUGACGGUAUCCAACCAGAAAGCCACGGCUAACUACGUGCCAGCAGCCGCGGUAAUACGUAGGUGGCAAGCGUUGUCCGGAUUUAUUGGGCGUAAAGCGAGCGCAGGCGGUUUCUUAAGUCUGAUGUGAAAGCCUUCGGCUCAACCGAAGAAGUGCAUCGGAAACUGGGAAACUUGAGUGCAGAAGAGGACAGUGGAACUCCAUGUGUAGCGGUGAAAUGCGUAGAUAUAUGGAAGAACACCAGUGGCGAAGGCGGCUGUCUGGUCUGUAACUGACGCUGAGGCUCGAAAGCAUGGGUAGCAAACAGGAUUAGAUACCCUGGUAGUCCAUGCCGUAAACGAUGAG